GUUUCAGAUUUAUAACAUUUUAAGUGAAAUAUUAAAUACAUUGAAAUCAUGUCAAAUUUCGCCGACCAGUUCAUUAGUUAUUAUGAAAAUCUUAAUGUUAAUAUCGUCUCUCUUUCAACCUUACUUACAACAUGACACAUUUAUCAAUAAAUUGACGUUUUUUGGCACGUUGAUGUUUCACGGUUGAACAGACGUAAGUAGACCACGGUAUCCAUCACAGAUUUACUGAUGCAGAAAUGGAGAAGACGUGCGCAGUAUAUUUUAUAACUAAUUAUAGAAACUUAUGAGGAGGUGAAGCAUAUAAGGGAAUACGGCAGCUGUAAUUAAACAGAAAAAGCCUGGCAGACAAUCGCGAUCCGACUGAAUGCGGAAGGAUUUUGAAUUGCUUUUAAUGAUUGUUUUAUGCAGGGGUCUUCAACGUUUUUCAGGCCAAGGACCCCCAAACUGAUGGAGCAGGGACCCCCUAUUCUACAGAGUUUCGUCCGCCAUCUUUUAUUUUUGAGCUUUGCGCUUUUACGUGAGCAUGAACGUGAUCUGAUUGGCUGGUGCCUGUGCUGUCGUAUCAGCAUGAAAGGAGCUUUGAAUGAACCGGUGCCCAGCUUCUCCAUUAAUUUAUCCAUUCGCUACAAUAUGUUGGAUUUAUGUUAAUGUGUAACAAUAAAGACAAUAAAUACAAUUCUGAUUCUGAAGACAUUUAAAUUUGUAGAAAAAAAAUUGUCUCAUCAACCAAAAAUUUCGCGACCCCCCUGCAGUACCUCCGCGGACCCCCUGUUGAAGACCUCUGGUUUUAUGUGUUGGUUUAUUGCUGUGUUUGUGUGCUAAAUGUGCUGGUUUUACUGUAAAGUGUCUUUGAGUAGCCUAACAUGUAAACCACUAUACACAUAAAAUGUAUUAUUAUUUUGCCUACUUUGCCUUAAAAGUGAGCAGAGGGAAUUAAUGUUCCUCUGGAAAUUUACUCAAAAGACUAAUUUCAAACACUUAUUCACGAUGCGAGAAUAUGUUUUAGAACAAAAUAUCUUUCUACAAUUAAUGUUCAUACAGAACAAACAAGACUGGACAAAAAAGAUCCUGGCAGCAGGUCAAGAUAAAAUAUAAAAACAUUUUGCAGGUUCGUAGUUUGAAGAUGGUGUGGAAAUGACUUACAAGAUGCCUGCUCACAUAUUUUAACAUAUAUGGCUGUAUGCUGUUUGUUAAAAGUGCGAGAUCUUUCCCGGACCGGUCGCAAUAAAGGUACGAGGAUGUAUUGUACAGUUCGGGAUACGGGUGUCUGCAGGACGAUGGGGAGCAUCGCGCCGCAGCAAAUAUAAUUUUAGAGUCCUGAAUUACAUUCAGCUUAGGGCCCUUUGCCGCCCUACGCGGCGCUCUUGGGGCUGGAUCGAGUCUCGAGAGGCGCCGUUUUAACAACAUAACAAGAGCAACCACGAGCAGCCCGGACGUUUAGCUAGCUAGUUAGCUACGCGCUAACGCCAUGUUCAGCUUCCAUGCUCCGUUUUUAAAUCAACGGGGACAGAAUCGAGCAUGGACAGAUACGUGAGUAAGGGACAUGAAGAAAAAGAAAACUCUUAUCGCAUUUCACUUUGUAAUUGUAUUUAUGUAAAUAUGAAAUAUUUUUGGGAAUUUUGAAACUCGAGCCAGUUGAUUCUUUCGGCUUGGACAAAGAGAGAAGGGAGCUGAGCCUUGGUUCUUCUGAUCGACCCACACAUUUAAGGAGUAGAACACAGAAGGAUAAGGGGAGAAGGUGAAUGGUGCUGAAAUCAUGCUUUAUUAAAUCAGAAAUACAUUAAACUCAAGGAGGAUGAGGUACAGAUAUUCAGAUAAAUCAAAGUGCAGGGCCUCUCGUCUUCUCUCAGGAGAUGGUGUCGCUGUGGAGAACAAAGACUACCCUGAAACCACUAAAAGCUACACACACAACACUCUGAACACACAAACUCAAGAUUAGCUAGCUAGACAUCCUCCAAGAGGAAGCGGUGCUCCUUAAACUAAAAUAAACCCGCUGCUGGACGGCGGCGAAGCGACUUGUGCCGCUCGCGCCCCGCCGCCGUCCUGGCGUCAGUCGGUUGGAGCUCUAGACGCCGCUAAACGUGAGGGUACGCAAACGGCGCCUGGGGCCUUAACACUAGCGGUGCGACUCGUAGGAAAGUUUAAUAAAUAUGUGUGCCGCUCGCGGGGGAGCGCGUGGGGACCUUUGUCGUGGUGUAACGUCGUCGGGGAGCCUCUCGACCCGCCGAGGCAGCUUCAGACUUCAACGUGUGGUUGAGGCGCAGUUUAGUUUCUCCGUCUGACGGGGUAUUCAUUCCUUGAGGAACUUUCUCCCGUCAAACUACACUUAGUUUCACUUAGUUUCAGUUCAUAUAUUAUUGUCAUAAAUAACAAUGCAUACAUUUCCCAUAACCGUUCAAUUCGGCUAUAUACAUUAUGUACAUGUCAGAAAAGUUGUUUAAAAAUCUUUUAAAAGCCUUAAUUGUCCAAUAUAACACAUUUUAUAACAACAUUAGACUUGAGUCUAGUUUGGCAUAAAUUAAUGUCAAGUUUGGUGCAAAAAUAGUUCAUAUUUACAAGAACAGGAAUCCAGAGCUUUACUAUGUAGGUUAUCGUUGCUAAUUCACUAAAUAAAAGGUUCUGGUUGAGGGAGAAAAACUGGGGGGGAAUAAUAAAUUCUUUUUUUUUCUUCACAUGGAGCGGACGUGCACAUUGACAGUGGCGGAGGCAGAGCCGAGCUCGUUGGAGAGCCGAAGGGUGUAGGCGCCGCCGUCGGCCUCCUUCACCGCAGAGAUCACCAGGGUGGAGAGGUCGGUGCCGGUCUCGACACGGCACCGGCCGUCCCUGUCAGGGAGGGGCUGCCCCGAGCGGACCCACUGGACCGAAGGUGCGGGAUCUCCAGAGAAAACCCCAGCCACGCUCAGGGGCUGGCCCGGCUCGGUGCUGACGUCCCGCGGGAGGUUCUCAAUCUUCGGGGGGGCGCCUGGAGACGAGGAGGAGGAUGAGGUCAGAGGUCAAGAAUUCAAAUGUGUGAACAAGAGCUUAAUUAAAAUAAUCAUAAGAAAAAGAUAAUUAUUAACCUUAUUAUUAACUGUCUUUAAUGCAGUCUUAUCGGUUAUCUUACUGUUGAACACUAUAAUUUAACAUGUAAUGAAUCAUAAGAAUAAUAAGAGUAAUUUUCUCAUCAUCACCUGCAAAUUUGGUGGCAUUUGGAUAACUGGAGAAAAAAAAAAUCUUUCUGGCGGCCUUUUUUUUGGUUUGUUUGUUUGACCAGUUUCUUAACUGUUAUCAUAACUUCAUGUUCACUGAGUCCCAUCUUAUGGAAUGAGUCAAUAACCUACUACAUUAGCAUUGGUUAUUGUUUAUAAUUCUUCAUAACCAUCACUGAAUAUUUAUUUUUAAAAUAUUACAAACAUUUAUUUUUUAUGACUUGAACCCUUGAUGCAAAAGUUUCAGAAUCCAGUUGAUGAUAUGAGCCUUAUUGUUAAAUGAGCAGGACUCAUUAUCACCUCUUUACUCACAAACAUCUCUACAUCCUGUUAUUUCGAAUCAAAGUAACCAUACACAUGGAAGCAUCUCACCUCGUUUGAGCCUCAGUGAGGAGGAGGAGGAGGAGGAGACAUCGGCAUGCGAGUGAGCAGACAUUUCCAUGACGUGGCUGCUGGAGCUCAUGGACACCACUGACUCAGCCGUCAUGGCCGACAUGCUAGACGCAGACAUGCUUUGAUACGAAUACUCGGCCGCCCCCGUCAGAACGGAAGAGUUCGAUAUACUUUCCUGCAUACUUGCAGCAGAAACUCUUUGUUCCACAAUUAGCAUUUGUGUUGGUUCUUCAACAAGAGCUGCAAGGAUGCAAAAGGACAAACACAUUUCUCACAUCACAAUGUCCACGAGUUCACGGGCGGAUCGAAAGCUAGGGGGCUCAAGCUCUGUCCUUUGAGUGGAAUGUUAAGGGUUUCUUUGGUGUAGGGCAGACGACAUGUUAGACACAGAGUGUGUAACCGUGUUAGUUUAGACGCAGCAGAAACUCACUGGUUACGCUGAGAGAGGACGUCGCGGAGCACUGCCCGAACUGAUUGGUGGCUUUUAUGGUGUAUUUCCCACUGUCUGCCACCGUGGCUUCACAGAUCUCCAGAGUGUGCACAGCCAGGGACGUGCUCAGUCUCACGUUGGACGACACAGAUAUCUGCAAAGAGAAAGUUGUGUUCACUAUUUCUCUUUAAAUAAAUUUACCCAAUAAAUAGACCACAAAUUACUUUCAGUAGACUACUCACCGUCAUGUUGUCUUUUAACCACUCCACCUUGGGGGAAGGAUCUCCUACAAGUUCACACGUGAAUUUGACUCGUUGGCCCUCGUUGACGUUCUGGGAUCUGGGCCGAACCAGGAUCUGUGGCGCGUCCGACUGCUCGGACACGACCGUCCUAUCAAAUGGACAAUGGACCUUCGCCUCCUCCACAGCGGACAGGACCUCAUCGUGGACUAUUUCCUGUUUCAUGACUUCCUCUGAGACUUCCGCUUUGGUGUUGCAGCUUUUUGAGCCUGAAGAGGGGAAAUAAAUGGAAGCGUUAGGAAACAAUCAGAAUGCUUUAAGCUGCAGGGUUUAUUCGGGCUACUUGCUUCCACCAGCAAGUGUGUUCCUACCUUGUACAGUGACUGUGCAGCUGGUCGACACUACUCUAGCACCAUUGCUGGCGGUGCACUUGUACAGCCCGCUAUCAGAGACCUCCAUUUCAUAGAUCUCCAGAUAAGCUGAGCCAUGCUUCUCAAAAAUGUCAUACUUUCCUCCCUGAGACAAAGCCUGUAAAUCGUGACAAUAUGAUUCAGUUACUCACCAACUCAAAUGACACUUUUGUAUAUGAACAGUAGAACAUUUUAAAUGGUUAUAAUCAGUUACCUCUCCAUCCUUCAUCCAUGAGAUGGUGGGUUUGGAAUCUCCUGUCACCUUCACAGAGAGCUUGACGAUGGAGUUGGAGGCGGCAGUGACGUCGCUUAGCCCGACGGAGAAGGACAGCUUCGUCUCGAGAGUUGGUGACAUCACGCUCUUUGGUGACUUGAUUGGAGAAGUGCACCAUUCCUUCUCGGUUGGAGUUGGGGAUUUGGGAGUUGGGGACUUUGGUGAGACCGGUGACUUGAUUCUCUGAGGUGACUUAAUUGGUUCGGGAGACUUGACCCUUAGAGGAGAUUUCACCGGUUCAGGGGACUUUGUAAGAGGCGACUUUGCCUCUGGGGAGGUGAUCCUGGGAGGGGCGACCACCUUCUCCAUGGACUCAGACUUGCGAAUGGCCAGAGAGAAUUGGGUCUCUUGUUUGCCUCCGGCAUUUUCCACCAGCAGAGUGUAGCUGCCUUCAUCUGACGCCUCAACAGCUGAGAUCUCGAAAGAAGAGUUGUACUGAGUGGAGACAAUGUGAUGUCGGACAGAGGAACCAAUAACUUCUCCUUCGUGCAGCCAGGUGAUAGAAGGUGCUGGCUCGCCAUCCACAUCGCACUCAAACCUGGCGAGACUUCCCUCCUCCACAGUCAGGGAUUGGGGCUUGCUCAGGAUCUUGGCAGGAACACUAGACUUUUCAACAACGGUGGUGGACUUUUUCAAAGUUUCAGUAGAACUUUCCUUAACCAUUGUCUGAGAGGAGGAGACGUGAUAAACCUCUGUUCUGGUCAUUUCUGGCAAGUGGGAGGAUGGAGGCUCCUCGUCUUUGCGGAAUGAAGAGAAGGCAGCAUAUUCUGCUCCUGCUACAUCCAAUGUGGCAUAGUCAGAAGUUUCCCCUUUGGCAUUCUUGCAAACCACGCGGUAAGUGCCGGAGUCUUCAGUCUCACAGUUGCUGAUCUUGAGAGUCAGAACCCCAUUGAUGUUAGUCAUGUGGUAUUUGCUGGUCUGAUGGAUCUCUUUGUCAUUGUGGAACCACUUGACCUGAGGCUCUGGUUUGGCCUGGAUAUUCAGGGUGAAUUUUGUGACGGAGCCGUGAGGUACUCGAUGAGAUCGCAGCCUGAUUGUAAUACGUGGGGUGUGGUCAAGGCUGAAUGGAGGCUGUGUCCCCACCUUAAUGGUCCUCUCCACCGAUCUUCUCUCUAAUCUUAGAGCCUGCUUUCUCUCCUCAUACCUGGAGGCAAAGUCCACCUCAGGAACGGUCACUUCAGUCUUGGCAGCCUGAUCUGGGGUCGUAGUUCUUCUGACAGGUUCAGGUAUUUGGAGCUUCUUGAUUGGUUUAGGAACAUAUUCGCGGGUGAAAGAUGUCAGGUGCUCAGAUUCAAUGGCCUCAGAGAAUUUUGCUAAAGUGUUGGUUGAUUCUUUUUUUAAUGUCCGAGUCUUCUCCUCAAACUCCAUGCGCUUGAUUUCACUCUUGUAAGCGGACAUUCUCUGAGCGGUUGUGUGUGGGCGCAGCAGCUCCUGUUCCUCCCUCUCAUCAUACACCUUCUGAUUCUGUCUUGGAGCUUUGUAUGUGGCUUUGUCGUGACGCUGGCGGAGGUCAACAAAACUUGUGCCAGCAUCGUAUUUAGACGGAAUCCGGUAGGAGUCAUAUCUGUAGAUUUUGUCUUCCUCUGGGUCAUCACUGUAGACCUUUCUCGGAGAGGAAGGACGCAGGGCGGACAGUUCAAAGCGAACAGGACUGUGCCUCGGUGGAGAAGCCGAGAAACCAAGCUCCAGCUCUUCCUCCAGACGCAGCCUCUCCUCCUCAGUUCUCUUCAUGGACAGGUAUUCAUUCACAGGAAGCAGUAGCUCCUCGUCCGACAGGUCGCCCAGGGACCUCCUCCUGAUCCUGUGGUAGGCCUCCAUCUCAGGGGAAGGGGUGCGAUGCCUUGCAGGCCUCACAGUCUCCAAGUCAUCCUGAGUCAAGAGCGAGAUGCGCCAUUUAGGCUUAUAGUGGUCCUUAAUCCGGAUGGGCACCUCGUAGAACUGCUCCCACCUGGAGAGGCGGAUACGCUUCAUUCUCUUCUGCUUGAUUUUAUCCAUAGGCUCAGGGAACUCGUACUGAUCCCGCAGUGUCUUGUACCAUUUCAUGUCAGAGAGUGGCUGGAAGUGUUUUAUUUCUAUAUCCUCCUCAAGAGCCGCUGGGUUCAUGACCCGAGGAGGCGGCACGUCAUAGGGCAUACGCAGCCUCUUCUCAUCAGCCCGUUUCUUCUUCUCCUGUUUUUCUUUCUGUAUCUCAGCCUCGGUCUUCUCGCCCUUCUUAGUCGUCACAGCGGGUUUGAACAUGGUGGCUGCCUCCCUGACAGCUUGCACUGCUGCCGGUGGUAAAGGUAUGAAAACGGUGUCGGCCAAAAUCUGUGACAGACGAACCUUCUUAUCUAACUCCAUCUUCCCAGCCAUUAACUUCUUCUCCUUUUCACUGGGCUCAUAUUCCUUCUUCACAUGGGUGACCCGUUCUACUUUGAGUGUUGCCUGGCAACUAGCAGAUCCAGCCGAAUUGGUCGCAGUCACUCUGUACACACCAGAGUCCUCGGAGAGAGUAUCUCUCACAUGAAGGAUAAAGUAAUCCAGACCCUCGUGCACAACCUCAAUAGAUGGUCCGAAGGCUAAAGGCAUGCCAUCCUUCUCCCACUUCAGGACAGGAUGGCCCGAUACUCUAAUCUCAAAGCGUACAUUCUGGCCCUCUCUGCACUCGACAUUUGCGAGCAGACGUUUGAACAUGGGCCUCAGGGUGAGGUCUGCCGGUUUAGGUCGAGGAACAACGGUAAGGCGGGCCUUGCAGCUGUCGUCCCCAAACCUGUUACGGGCCACAACGCUGUACUCUGCAUCAUCCUCAUUCUCAAGUUUGUGGAUAAUCAUUUGGUACAGACCCUUGUCGCUGAUGAAAGUGUAUUUUUUGUCAUCUUCUCCAGGGAUGAGCUUCUGUCCGGAUUUGUGCCAGACGACACGCGGUUCAGGGUGAACGGUGAUGGUUACGCUAAAGCGCACAUCCUCACCAAUGUAGGAUGUGCGAUUGACCAGAGGAAGGGUGAACUCCGGUGGCUUCUGAAGCAUUCUGGCAGUGUCGACUCUGCGCUUUGUCUUUUUGACGACUCGGGUGGUGAAGAAAUCACGGUAAGAUCUAACGCCGUUGACGAACAGCUCUGCAUAAGCACUAUCCUCACCAUACUCAUUUACGACCUUACAUCUGUACGUGCCGUCAUCUGCUCUUGUGACCUUGUUGAUGGUGAUCACAGCCAGGCCAUCCUCAUACUCGGUUUCAUACUUGUCACCAGCCUCAAGCUGCCUGACGCCACAGUACCAGGUCACUUCAGUCGUGCUAUCGUAGUUUUCAAUGUUGCAGAUGAAUUUCACAAUGUCUCCCUCAUUCCCCACUACAUGACCGACCUGGCCUCCAACAGGACCGUGUUCAAACGGCGCGAUCUUCACCUUGGAGACGAAGACGCCACGCUGGGACCUGAUGGAGCCUCCGCUGGCCAAGCGAGCUGCAGAGACAACAGUUUUCCACUCUUUCCUCACCAUUGUCUGGUAGUACCUCUUGUGUCUUACGGUCUGGAUGGCCCUGGUGCUGAUCUCCUCUGCGGGUUUGGUUAACCACGCAUGUGCCAGAGCCUCAGCAGCAGACAUACGAUGCUUUCGUUCCUUUGUCAUCAAGCGAUCGGUAAAGUCUAAUGCAUCAACACUGACCUGCUUGAAGGACUCAUCGUCGUAGCUAUAAGCAGCGUUUGAGAUGUUGUCAAUCAUCUGUUGGUUGGUCUCAGCUGUGAAUGGAUUCAGUCCACUGAGGAGCACAUAGGCGAGGACACCAACCGACCACAUGUCAGUAACGGUGCUAACCAUGUCAGACUGGUGGAUCUCAGGGGCAGCAUACUCUGCAGUGGUAUACUGGAUCUUUAUUUGGUCUCCAGGAGUCAGGUGUCUGGACUGGCCCAACUCAAUAAUCUUUACAUUACAGCUGGUUCUAGUUGUGUACACAAUGUUUUCUGGUCUGAUAUCAAAGUGACCAAAGCUCUCAGCAUGCAGAAACUCAAGCGCUGAGCAGAUCUGCCUGAUGUAAUUAGUAAUCUCCCGCUCAUUAAGCUCAAAAUCAGCUGUGUUGAGGCGCUCGAAAAUGUCAACGCCAGAGAUAAAGUCAUAGAUCAUCACCAGCUCCUCAGGGCUUUCGAAAGACUCGUGGAGGAGAAGGUAGUUGGUAUGUUCGGCAAGAUUCAAUGUGGCGAUUCCUUCUUGACAAUUGCUUGAUCGGCGCCUCUCACCUUGAAGAAUUUAGCCAUGUAGGUCUUCUCAGAGCUAAUGUUAACACAGCGGUGGACAAUGGCAAACUGACCUCUGCCCAAUUCCUCUGCAAUGGCAUAUUUGUUGUGCAUGUUCUUGGCCUCAGAGUGAACCUUGCCCCUGGGGACGUGGCCACUGUCGUCAACCUCCCUAUCAUAGAGCAGAACUCUUGAUUUGUCCUCUUUGGUCAUCACUGGUCCACUGGACUCAGAUGGAGCACUUUGUCCAAAUUUAUUCUCGGCGAUAAUUCUGAACUGAUAGCUGGUACCUCCAAAGAGAUUGAUCACUGUAUAGUGGGUGUCACGGGACUGGGCAACACGCUCCCACCGCUCGGCAGUGGUGGGGCACUUCUCAAUGAUGUAGCUAAUGACCCUGCUGCCUCCGUCGUUGGCCGGGGCCACCCAGUUCAGCGUGACCGAGUCUCUGGAGACGUCACUGGCUUGGACUCCACGCGGAGGAUCGGGAACGUCGGCUACGUCCAGCUCGACCGUUUGCUGGUCAAUGCCGAAUCUGUUCUUGGCGCAGACAAUGUAGAAACCGGCAUCCUUCUUCUCGACUCCAUUGGUAAACACCAAAGAGGUAAACGAUCUGGUGACAAUGACCUGGUAGUGGCCAUUGCUGUCAAUAAGAUCUUGUCCCUUCUGCCAUGUGAUGACAGGAUCUGGUUUGCCACUGAAAGGAAUCUUGAUGUUGAUCAGCUCUCCACGCAGGGCAGGGAUGGCUUCUUUGUCCUUCAGGUUCUUCGGGAGGUGAAUCUUGGCAGGGACUG
This is a long non-coding RNA of Gasterosteus aculeatus aculeatus (three-spined stickleback), 9930 nucleotides long. The record is from Ensembl. NCBI's taxonomy places the organism in Eukaryota, Metazoa, Chordata, Actinopteri, Perciformes, Gasterosteidae.